CAAAGCACUUUGAAGAGAGAGUUAAAGAGGACGUGAAACCGGUAAGGUGGAAACGGAUAGAGCCGGCGAAUCUGGCUUGUAUUCAGCUCGGGGGCGUGGUGCUCGGGUGUUCUGUAUCCAGCAAUGGUGCGGAGCAUUUACAACUUCUAUGUUCCUGGGUGCAUUUGCGAGUGGAGUGCGCUGAGGGCCGUGGGUGCAGCGGUUGGAAGCGGGAGGAGAGGCUAAGCUUCGGCUUCGUACCUACUCUCGUGGAAGGCUGUUUGCCCUGUGGUACAAAAGGGUAAGGCCUACGUGAUAGGUGGGUUGCAUUGGGUGUUCUCGCGGCGGUCGCAUGCGACACGUGCUUGUUUCGCUUCUUGCAGUUUAUCAUUCACUCUUAUCCACCCUCGGUGUAAAAGCUGGUCAUCUAUCCGACCCGUCUUGAAACACGGACCAAGGAGUUUAGCGUGUACGCGAGUCAUUGAGUGCGAAACUCAUAGGCGCAAUGAAAGUAAAGGCCAUUCACUUGGUUGAUGUGCGACGGGAUGAACUACGGUUCAACCCAGCAGCACAGCCCCGUCCCGAUUGCUUGCAAUGGGGCGGAGGUAGGGCGUAUUCGCUGAGACCCGAAAGAUGGUGAACUAUUCCUGAGCAGGAUGAAGCCAGAGGAAACUCUGGUGGAAGUCCGAAGCGGUUCUGACGUGCAAAUCGAUCGUCUGACUUGGGUAUAGGGGCGAAAGACUAAUCGAACCAUC
This 734-nucleotide ribosomal RNA is filed under the name Cephalenchus hexalineatus. RNAcentral's name for it is "eukaryotic LSU rRNA". It matches the Rfam family "Eukaryotic large subunit ribosomal RNA", at positions 367 to 944 of the family's 3401-position model. Lineage: Eukaryota; Metazoa; Nematoda; Chromadorea; Rhabditida; Tylenchidae. The record is from RNAcentral.